GUAUGGUUUAGUGGCAAAUCAUCUGCUUGGCAUGGAGAAGGUCCAAGGUUCAAUUCCUAGCAUCUCCU
Molecule: transfer RNA, 68 nt
Filed under: Sphaerodactylus townsendi
Lineage: Eukaryota; Metazoa; Chordata; Lepidosauria; Squamata; Sphaerodactylidae
Description: tRNA-Ala
Source: RNAcentral